GUCCCGAAGGAUGGCUCUGUUGGAAGAGCAUGGCACUCCUAAUCUCAGGGUUGUGGGUUUGAAUCCCAUGUUGGGCCA
Podarcis lilfordi (Lilford's wall lizard) is the source of this 78-nucleotide non-coding RNA. NCBI's taxonomy places the organism in Eukaryota, Metazoa, Chordata, Lepidosauria, Squamata, Lacertidae. The record is from the annotation of a GenBank genome assembly.